GUAUCAAAGAUAGAUGCAAAGCAUAAAGUUAGAUCCGUGUCAGUUAUUUGCAAUUCGUUGAUCACUGGCAUCAUUAAGUGUGUGGUUAGCUGCCUUGUAUUUGUAGGAGCUGAAAAACUGCUAGUGAUGACUGAUGGAAUUGUUUGCUUGUCAGUGCCUGGGGCAUAGUAGGUGCUCAGAAAAGAGGGAUUUCAUGCCAAGGACACAGAGUGAUGAAACCUGAAGUGUGUGAACUGUGUUUUCUGUGUUCCUCAUGUGAGUGAGGACCCAAAGAGUGAAAUAGGUCUAUAGGAGAGAAAGAAGUGUGGUCCAAGAUAGGAAGGGAGUGGCUUUGGUAUGGGAGGCAGCUAGGGAGAGGAAAAGCCAUAAAAGGUUAAUUAAUGAACACACAGUGUUCCUGCCCUGCAGAGGCAGCUCAAAAGCCACUAGGAUGACAAUGAAUCCAGGCAGUGCUGGGUACUCGGUGAGGGACACCACUGUCCCUCCAGUAUCCACACCAGGGCUGCCCGAAGUCAUAUUGACUCCUCCCCUAACAGGUCACAGCUGGUCACUCACUGCAUCCUGUUCUGCUCUGGGCCCUACCCACUCCUUGACCACUGCUUGGUCCAGCCUGUGGCCACCAUGUCUCCAGCUUUAUGUGAGAUGGCUGAAUGUGGGCAAGGGAUGAAGAGUGCCUUUUCUAAGAUGCAAACCUAAACACGUUAAGUCAGUUCCUUGAACAAGAAGCCUCUUAGGGUAAAGUCCAAGAGCGCCCCACCCCUCUCUGCCUAAACCACAGACUAAGCUCUGCCUGUUCUCCCUUCCUACCCUGUUCUCCAGCGAUGGUGAACUCUGCUUCUCUCUGUUCCCCUUCAGCUCUCUCUCUACCUCUGGCCCCUUUGCUCAUUUUUCUAGGUGGAAAAGCCUCUCUGUUUUCUUCAUGAACUAAUGCCUUCCACUCUUAUUUCUUUAAAUCCUAUUCACUCAUUAUGUCUUGGAUGACAUUUUCUCCAAAAUACAUCUCUCACCACUAUCCCUCAUCUCGCCUUUAGAUAAAUUGAGAUACUCCUUCUUAGUGCUAUGGUCCCACCUGAAUUUCACCUCUUGUAAUAUUUUCUUUUUUCAAGAUUUUAUUUAUUUGAGGGGUAGAGUUACACAGAGAGAGAGACAGAGACAGAGACGAAAGUCUUCUAUCCACUAGUUCACUCCUCAAAUGGCCACAAAGACUGGAGCUGGGCCGAUCCGAAGCCAGGAGCCAAGAGUUUCCUUCAGGUCUCCCUAGAGGGGCCCAAGCACCUGGGACAUCUUUUACCGCUUUCCCAGUCCAUAAGCAGAUAUCUGGAUCGGAUGAAGGGGCACCCAGGGUGUGAACUGGUGACCAUAUGGGAGGCUGGUGCCCAUAGGCAGAAGGAAGCUUAGCCUACUAGGCCACAGUGCUGGCCCCUGUUUCUUUCUUGUAAGUGGCUAGUGAAUGACCGCUCCCCAGCACUAGCAUGGAAACUGGACAAGGGCAGGGACCUUGUCUAUACAGCAAAAUUGUGUUCCCAGGGCCCACAUUUUCAGUGAGUGUUUGUCAAGGGAAUAAAUGUACCUGAUUGAGAGGAAGAAGUGAUUUCAACUUAAAGAGAUGGGAGGAAUAGCAAGUGACUGUGAACUGGACCUCAGGAAAUCCAAGGGCUUUGUGAAGAGGACAAAAGAGGGAGGUCCCCUCCCUGAAUUUUUUUUUUUUUUAAGAUUUUUAUUUAUUUGAGAGGCAGAGUUACAGACAGAGGGAGAGGCAGAGAGAAAGGUCUUUCAUCCACUGAUUCACUCCCCAGAUGGCUGCAACAGCUGGUGCUGUACCGAUCCGAAGCCAGGAGCCAGGUGCUUCUUCCUGGUGUCCCAUGCGGGUGCAGGGCCCAAGCACUUGGGCCAUCCUCCACUGCACUCCUGGGCCACAGCAGAGAGCUGCAUCGGAAGUGGAGCAGCGGGGACUCGAACCAGCAUCACGGGCGGAGGCUUAACCCACUAUGCCACAGUGCCGGCCCCUCCCUGAGUGUUUUUAAGCAGCAGAGUGAGAUGGUCUCAGUGGUGCCCAGGUCUUGUUUUUGUCCCUAAAGCCAGCACAGUGCUCCACAGGUGACGAGGUGUUCAGUAAAUCCUGACUUAAGCUUGGUCCUUGCCAACUAGCAGGUGCUGUAGCUUAGGAUUCCUCCACCCUUGUCCCAGCAGAGCCCUGUUGCCGCACCCAAUAUUGCAAUCUGGGUUCUUGUGCCAGUGACGAUUGGAGAGUAGAUAUGGAGUAUAGUUCUGGCCAGUGGAAUAUGAAGGAACCUGUGCUGGGGGGGAGGGGACAAGGCUUAUGGGAAAUAUUUUCCUUCCUCAUGAGACGAAACCUGCACACCUGCUUAGGAAGUUGUUGUGUGAGGAUGUGAUGUGUGAAGCUGUGGCAGCCAUCUCCUCACCAUGAGGGAAAGACCAGGUUGCGGGUUUCUAUAUACAUAGUUGUUUUUCAUCAUUUUGUUUUCAGCCCAAAUGUUACCUCUUCAGUGAUGACUUCCUUACCGGUAAGGUCAACCCCGCCCCCUGCCCCACUCAGUUACUAGUUACUGUCCUCUUUUACUUUCUUCUCUUUACGAGUCAUUAACUCUGGUUACUUUGUUCAGUUUUUUAAUUUGUUACCUUUUUUUCCCACUAGAAUGUGAGCUUCCUGAGACUAGGGGCAUUGCUUCAUUCACUCCUUUUUCCCGAGCUCCUAGAACAGUAUCUGGUAACUAGAAGGUGAUCCGUAGGAGUUUGCUGAUUAAUGGAUGUUAGCUACACUAUGCCAAGACAAGCACGCCAUGUUGAAGUUGAUUCAGGGUCUGGCAGGCACAGCCACCACGAAUCUCCACUUUCUCCUUUGUGCUGUGUUUCAGUUAUUUCCUGCUUAGACAAUCUGAUACCCAAAUACACGCUCUUGAGAUUUCUUCUUCCUUUGUUACUCUAGAGUUUGUUCUAUUCCUUCCCCAGUAAAAAUCUCCUCUUCAUUUGAUGAUAGACAAAGUUACAAAGGCAGAAAAAUGUCAUGUGCUUGUGCAGUUUGAGCAGCAUGGAUACAUCUACCUUAAAGGGAAACAAAGUCACAUGUUUUGAAGUUGGAGAUAUAGGUAGACCAAGGUUGUUCUAUCUCUAAAUCAUUAUGGAGGAUCUGCAUAUUCCAGCAUCUGUAUGUGUUUCUGCCUGUAUUAUCCAUCCAUUCAUCCAUCCAUCAAUCCAGCAUUCCAUCCAUUGAUACAUGCAUGCAUCCAUCCAUGGAUUCAUCCUUCUGUUUAUCUCCUCAGAAUUGCCAGGAAAUACUGAGGUUGAAUUAGGUAGCCAGCAGUUCUGAUAAAGAUCAAAGUAUUGGAUAUGUGAUCUGCCCCACUGCAUGCCCCAGGAGCUGUCAGCAUUUCUAACGUAGGUAGGUAGCUGUUCUAAAUGCUGUUUGGUAGGACCAUGCAAUUGAAGGACAUAGCACAAAAAUAGUUGAAAUGUCCAAUCUUGAGAUCCAGGAGGUGAGUAAAACUGAAAGAGCUCCUGAAGAGAUAGCCAUGGGAUGGUGCGUUCACUAUUCGGAGUAGGUGGGAGAGUGAGUGUAUUGGGAAUAUUGGAAUGAGCAACUUGGAAGGGUAGGAGGUGAGUUGGAGAAUGGGGCCCUGUGAGUUGAACAUUUAGAGGUGAAGCAGCCCCAAGGGGUAGCAUAGAAAGGCUCUGGGGGUGGGAGGCAGAAGGGACAGAAAGGAAGGAGUGGCUGGGGUGCUGAAUGUAGUUCCGGGUAGAUCCUGAAAUUACUCAAAAUGGUGGCCAGACAGGAUAUGGAGUAAGACUGAGCCCCCAGGCCACGUCUCAUUUCAUGAGAAAAAAAAUCUCCAAGCAACUGGUGGACACUGGCAGCCAGAGAGAGUGGCUGAGCAAUACCCUUCCUCCUGUUGUUAACUGCUGCCUUGCAUCCUGGCUGUUCAAGUUGUCAUCACUCACAGUUGACUGUUUAUUGGUUGUUUUACUAGUAAAAUAGAUCAAUAAUUUAUUUUUCUUCUUUUUAUUAUAAACAUUAUUUCUGCCUCAUUGGGAAUUUAAAUCAGCUGUGAGGGACUUGUCAGGGAUCUUAAAACAUUAUUUAUAAUAUUUCCCAGGGAGAUGAUUCGAAAUUUCUGAAUCAAUAACCCACACAUAGGAAGCUUUAGAAUGUAGUUUAUUGCUGAGUUGGGGACCACCUGGGUUUCUUCUGUGCUGGGAGGCAGAGUGAGGAAAGAACACAAGGCCCACAGGUAGGAACCACGACUUUCCUUAUUUUAGAAUGAGAAGUUGACUCCUUAUGUUUCUAUUCCUGUCCUCUGUGUUAAGGAAAAAUUAUAGAUAUUUAUAUCUUGGAUUGAAUUUAAUGCACUAAGUAUUGCUUGAACCUCUACCAUAGGUCUGGAGUGGAGUAGGAGUACAAGAAAUAUAUAUAAUAUGAUCCUUGCAUUCAAGGAAUUUGAGAGAAUACACAGAUUGCUUAAGUAAUUAAAAGGACAAGAAGUAAAUGUAUUUGUUCAAAGAAAUAUGACUCAUCAUGUAAGGUUUGGUCUUUGUCUUAAAGGAGUUUAUAGACUUGCAAAAUACAUCUCAUCAGGUCAGGAAGCCCCCAAAAACCAUGCUAGAGGGGGUGCUGCCUGUUUUAGAACUCCAUUGCUGGUGGGGAAGGCACUGCAAGUCACGUUUUGGGAUCUGGAAGCGGCUCGAUGGCAAAGAGCACAUGGCCCACCCAGGAGCGGUGUGAGACAAGUUGGGACAGGUCAGCUGAGGACAGGUUGUAGAGAAAAUGGGAACUGGCCAUUGGGAAAUCAAGAUAGGUUUUUGAAAGGAUGAGUUGCAUGAUAGCAUAUCAAAAUGACAUUAAAUAUAAUUGUGAUAGGAAGUUCUGGCAGAGCAGGAGACAGCAGUUUGGAAUGUGUAUCUACAAGUGGAAUCCACGCAGAUGCCCCUCAGCUUAUGACAUAAGAGAAAUGAAGAUGCAAAAGAAGCAGACUUAGGCUCCUGACUCCAGCUUCCUGCCAGUGUGGACCCUGGGAGACAGCAGUGAUGGCGCAGGUGAGGACGUCUUGAGGAAGUUCCUGAGGUUCAGGGGAACAGAAGUCUCCACCGGGGAGCUCUCUCCAGAUCCCAGGAGAGUGACCCUUGGUGCAUUAGCAGGGAGUUGGAUUGGAAGUGGAUCAGCCAGGAACCACAUGGGAUGCAGCAGUUUCACCUGAGAAAGGAGACAGAAAAUCUGCAAAGUGUGGAAAACUGGAACAGCACCAUCAGUUAGUUGGACUCUCCCCAACAAUGGAUACACGUUCUCUUCAAGUUCACAUGGAACAUUAAUCAAAAGAGUGAAGGCUCCAGGGGAGGAUUGGGCUGUGUUGUUCACGCGGCAGCUCCCAGCUCCUGGAGUGUGUAUCCGUCACCUGCUGUGGGUCCGCCCUGCUCGGGAGCCCUCCUGCCAGAGGGGAAGCAGAUGUGCAAGAACUGUACGGAGGCACGCUUGGGAGAGCUGCUCAGGAAAACACUGGCGAGCGCUAGGAAAGCACGGAUUUGGGCGCUCAGGCCGAGAAGUCCGUGAAAGAGGGGGCAGUAGCAGGGGGAGCCUGCAGGGAGAAGCAGCAGCAGGGCGAGGAGGAGAAAGCCCGCCGCGUGCCAGCUGUGGGGGGAGCCUGGCCUUCCUGUGGCAGAGGAGGUAGGCAGGGCAGACUGUGCAGCUUUGAUGCACUGAGCCCAAAUCAAACUUUAGAGUCACGGUCCCAGCACCUUAGAGUGAAGAAGGAUUUAGGGGUUACGGAGAGGAGCGGUUUGUAGUUGGGCCUCAGCAGACAAGUGUGGGUCUGGGAUGUAGUUUUCACCCUCCAGGGCGACAUGGGAAAAAUGUAAGCCAUGGGGCACGUGGCUUAAAAAGAUCAAGCCGAAUGCUUGCAAUCUAAACGAUGCUUUCUCUCCCCGAUGUCAAGGCUGUUUAUGAGUGAUGUGCUAGUAGGUAGUGCUCUUUUGUUUUUGUUUUUAUUUCCUUGGCAACCCUAUGUUAGUUGUAAGUGCCUCCCUGAUUUGUUUGAUUAGUUUAAUUGCUCUGUUAAACCUCAGGGAUCUGGAAACCCUAGUUCCUCAGAACUGAGACCCAGAGAGGUGAUGGCGCUGCCUGGAACCAAACGGAGAAACACAUAGUGCAGUGCUUCUGCUGUUGUGUGUAAGGCAGUUGUGUGCGUUACAGUAUAUCCUGUCUGUUUGGCGUGACUGGUUUCUUGUGCAGCAUUUUAGACUCAGAAAUGAAGCAGUCAGUUAACAUGUUUGUUGUUUGGCAACUGGAAGUAGGCUUGGUCUCUGAGAAGUCUAACCAGAUGGGAUUGCUGCCUGUCACUGUUCGCUGAGGCUUUCAGAAAUGUCACAGUCACGAAGUCAUAUACAUGUGCUGUUAUUACUGACUUUGAUAUGCAAAUAAAGACUGUUCUUUUUCAA
Molecule: non-coding RNA, 6444 nt
Organism: Oryctolagus cuniculus (rabbit)
Lineage: Eukaryota; Metazoa; Chordata; Mammalia; Lagomorpha; Leporidae
Source: RefSeq, a predicted model, not a curated record